UGUGUUAAAUACUCAGUCCCCGGC
Molecule: non-coding RNA, 24 nt
Filed under: Rattus norvegicus (Norway rat)
Lineage: Eukaryota; Metazoa; Chordata; Mammalia; Rodentia; Muridae
Source: RNAcentral